Molecule: ribosomal RNA, 449 nt
Filed under: Blastocystis sp. subtype 1
Lineage: Eukaryota; Bigyra; Opalinata; Blastocystidae
Description: SSU rRNA
Rfam family: Eukaryotic small subunit ribosomal RNA
Source: RNAcentral
ACAAUGCGGGACUAUCAGUCUUGCAAUUGGAUUGAGAACAAUGUACAACUCUUAUCGAUAAGCCAUUGGAGGGCAAGUCUGGUGCCAGCAGCCGCGGUAAUUCCAGCUCCAAUAGCGUAUAUUAACGUUGUUGCAGUUAAAAAGCUCGUAGUUGAAGUGUGGGUGAUCGCUGUUGUGAGACUUCGGUCUCUCGACAGUAAGUCACCCCCUUCCAGUAUCCAGUAGUGGGUAUUCAGUUACUUACUAUUGUGUGUUGGUCGUUUACUGUGAGAAAAUUAGAGUGUUCAAAGCAGGCGUUUGCUUGAAUAGAUUAGCAUGGAAUAAUAAUUGAAGGCUUUCGUGUUCGAUUUGAUUGGUUUGUUCAUGGAAGCAAGGUUAAAAGGAACAGUUGGGGGUAUUCAUAUUCACUAGUUAGAGGUGAAAUUCUCGGAUUUAUGGAAGAUGAACAA